This is an RNA transcript of Cyanidioschyzon merolae strain 10D, 1053 nucleotides long. RefSeq lists it as hypothetical. The transcript has a single exon. The record is from RefSeq and is a predicted model, not a curated record. Lineage: Eukaryota; Rhodophyta; Bangiophyceae; Cyanidiales; Cyanidiaceae.
GUGUUUCGUUUCGCACCUGGACACACGUUUUGCAGUACAAAUCGUCCACUGUGCGCAAUGUCAAUUGCCACGGUAACUUUUGUAUUCCUAAUGGGUACCUGUACAGGUAUGUACGUUGCUCAGCAGUACCGAGUACCGAACGUCAAGUUCUGGCUGGAGGAAACCCGAAGGGCUGUUCUCCGGUUUGAGCGUAACAUGCGCCAAGAGCAGGCGCACAAGUGAGCGUUUCCGAAAGGGACAGUUCGACGAGGGCGCCAGCCUUUCCUCUGCUGCAACUGUGUGUUCGUGCAGUGCUGUUUUUCUCUGAGUGCGAUAGGGUGGCAAGCAAGGCGAACAGCGUUCGUUUCUCAGCAGCACGAUAUCCUCGAGUUUCGUGAGCGACACUGAGUGCGGUCGGAGAGCGCUAAUGCGAAGGUUUAUCGUCGAUAUUGUGGGAAAACUGCAGGCUUUACGUUUCUACCGGAUGUUGCUGCUUCGAUUGCUCGAGCACCUCAUCAUAGACGCUCCGUUCGAUGUGGCGUCUACAACGACCUGGAGACUGGUUGUCACAAAGAGUAUGCAGCUCGACUGGACACUAAUCGAGACGAAGGAUGGAACUUGAUAUCCAUGCCGAGCGACGCCUCAGGCACAGCCUUGUGUGCAAGCACGAGCACGCAUGCAAUGACGCUCCUCCGCAUGAGCAGACGAGCCUAUGUAAGCGACGCUUCGAAAAGCGACAGUAUACAGUGAACCGCGAAGCUCGUCGUCGACCUUUGCUAUUUUUAUUUGUGAUACAGUAGUGGACGCUGUGUGCGGAUAAUGCCGCGGUCGAUCGCUGUUCGGUUUCGUUCAUGGUCUAGCCUGAGUAGAGGCGGCGGCGGCGGCGGCGGCGACUCCGUCCGAUUCACUGGACCGCUUUUCCUGAGGAAGAUAAGCACGAGGGCAUGCCUACCAGCAUCUUGGGUGUGUACGGAGGACUUUUGAAAUAGCUGGUUUCUGUUGAUUCCAGCGGAGUUCUCGUGUCAUGAAUAGUCUCGACGCGUUGCCGACGCUGCAUAGAGAACUUUAUAAACU